This 1352-nucleotide long non-coding RNA is filed under the name Anser cygnoides (Swan goose). Its description in RNAcentral is "lncRNA (ENSACDG00005008718.1)". The record is from RNAcentral. Lineage: Eukaryota; Metazoa; Chordata; Aves; Anseriformes; Anatidae.
CGCUAUCCCACAGUCCGCAGGGGGGCGCUCUGCCCGCCGCCUCCUCUCUGUGGUCGGCCGCUCCUUGGCGGGCGGCUGAUAGGGGGCGGUGCUUGAGCGGCGCGGACCAAUCCCGACAGCGCCGCCGGCGUCGGGAAGCCUCCUAUUGGCCGGCCCCGCAUCGCGCGGGGACCAAUCCCCGCCGCCGUUGGUUUGGAAACCGGCGGCGCGCGGCGCGGGGCCCGCAGAAGGGUCCCGGCGGGGCCGGGCGCAGGGUGCGGAGCCCCCAUGGCGUCUCGCGGCCCCCCCGGCGGCGGGGAGAGCCGGGCCACGGAGCCCCGCGGGACGCCCCCGUUCCGGGCGGACCCGGCGGCGCUGGCCGCGAUCCUCAGCGGACCGGGCCCGGGCCCGGGAGCGCGGCCCGAGGCUCGGCCCGGCGGCGCCGUCAGGGCCUCGCUGGCCGGGCGCGUCCCGCUGCGGCUCGGCUCCCUCCGCACGCAGAUGCGCGCCCCCGGUGCCGCCGCCCGCUGCUGCCGCCGCUCAGCGCCCCGCUCCCCGCAGGCCUCGCGGCCGCUCCAGCGCCACCUCGACCGCGCCUCCGGUUUCUCUGUUCGGGCUCCCGGGGGCCCCCCGCGCCCCCUCGCCCUCCCUGCCGCCGCCCCGGUUCUCGAGCGCCGCGGCGAAGCCCCGAAGGAGGCGGCCGGGGCCCGGUCCCGCAGAGACCCUCCCGGCUGCGCUGGCCCCUGUCCUGCCCAGUGAGCAGCUGAGCGAGACGGGGGGAGCCACGGGGGGCAGACCCUGCCUGGCCCGCCGAGUGCCCGCCCGCGUCCCCUCCUCGGCCAGGGGCACCGCAGGAGCUGCCCGGGGGGCACAGGGGCUCCCACAAACCGCGGGGGGAGCCCAAGCUGAACCGCCAGGUUCCCUCCUUACCCAGGAGAGCGCGUCCAUGCUCCCAGACCGCCCCUCGAAUGAAAGCAGCACCCCAGGCACUGACCCCCCCCGAGCAUCUGGACCCUCCAACGUCGGCUUGGCUCGCCGUGUGCCCAUCACCAAGGCCAUGCGCUUUGAGGCAUCCAAAGAGCGCUUCUUCCGCACGCCGCGCCUCACCCCCCGCAGCCGCGUGUUGGGCACCCACCAGCGCCCCCUGAAGUGGAGACUGGCCCUGUCCCCCCAGCCUGGCCCCAGCACCGAUGCUGCUGAGAGCAAGGAGGAGGCCCCACCCUGGGAGAACAUCGUGGUGCAGCUCUUCAGGGAGGACGAGGGCCAGCAGGAGCCCGAGGGGCAGACACCGGCUCUGCCCAGCACCUCGCCGAGCUCCAGCACGGCUCAGGGCCGUGGUGCAGCUCUUCUGGGGGGACAAGGGCUGGCAGGAU